CAUAUACUACUACUUGCAGGUUUCACACUGUCCAUUCUCUCUCACUCUCUCUCUCUCCUCAGUCUGACCCAAAUGGAACAUCUCUAGAGAGAGAAACUAAGGGUUGGAUUUUUUUGGUUCAGUUGCCACCACAGCCUCUGACUGUCUAGAGGGACAUUGGCUCCCCACGGAUGUGCCCAGAGCAAGAUUGUUGCACCUACUGUAAGCACAAAUCAAAUGCCAUCCCUAAAAAUGAAGAGCAAAGUAAGCGUGAGCUGUUUAACAGAAACAAAGGAUCUUCAUGUGUGUCCGAAAUCAAAAAUAAUUUCCAAAAGCCCGUGUUCUAAAAUCAUGAUUUCUACACAAAAGGCUGAAAUAGACACCACUGUUCAAAAUUGCCUAGAUGUUUCCUCAAGGACGCAGCCCAAAGACAUUGCAUGUGAUCAAUCUAUUGAUAACAAAGAAUUUCUGGAUAAAGAAAACUCUGAAUCUGAGCACCAAUUUUCUGUUUGUUCCUCUGUCCUGGGAAAAAUGGAACUAACCAACACCUGCACAGCAAACUUAGAAACAAUUUUUUCUCCUGCUUUUGAGCCCAUUGAAGUCCAUUCACAACAUUAUACUGAGAAAGAUGCAGUGAGCAUUGGUGAUACAAACAUGGCCGAAGUGGGAGCUGAUGAAGGAAGAAGCAUAUGUGGUUAUGAAACAUGCGAUGUAUCAGACUUCUACAUUUCUGACAUGAUCAUUACAAACUUACCCUUUGGGGGGAAUUCCUUUGAUGAUGAUAUCAGUGAAACCAACUGCCUAUCUGAUUAUGGAUCUACUGAGCCAUCCAUGUUUACCGCGUCUGAACAGUACAUGAUCCUGCCUGCUCUUGAAGAUGAUAUUAAAGUUGGCACUACUUCUGAUAUCAUAUCAUAUGAAGAAACCAUGAUGGUUCGAGAAAGUGCUAGUUUGUAUUCAGCAAUGGGUCAGAUAAGAUCCUGCAACCAGGAGUCUGAUGUUAAAAGUGACUUGGAUAAAUCAGAGUGCUUUGAUCCACAGUCAUUUAUCAAGAAUUUACCAGAACUAUCAGAAAUAGAAGUAAAUGGGAAGCCAACCCUAAUUCCUAAGCAAUCUCCUAGAAGAAAGUCAAUAACUCUGGUGCUGGACUUAGAUGAGACACUUGUUCAUUCUACAUUGGAACACUGUGAUGAUGCGGAUUUCACUUUUACUGUCUUCUUCAAUUUGAAAGAGUACAUAGUAUAUGUAAAACAGAGGCCUUAUCUCCACACAUUCUUGGAGAGGGUAUCAGAGAUGUUUGAAGUAGUAAUUUUUACUGCCAGCCAAAGCAUAUAUGCAAAGCAACUACUUGAUAUAUUAGAUCCUGAUGGAAGAUUUAUUUCUCGUCGCAUGUAUCGAGAAUCAUGCCUUUUUUCAGAUGGAAAUUACACAAAAGAUCUUACUAUAUUAGGUGUUGAUCUUGCAAAAGUUGCCAUAAUUGAUAAUUCACCUCAGGUUUUCCGAUUGCAAGUGAAUAAUGGUAUUCCUAUAAAGAGUUGGUUUGAUGAUCCAUUAGAUUGUGCACUGAUGUCAUUACUUCCCUUUCUAGAGACCUUGGCUGAUGCUGAUGAUGUCCGUCCUAUCAUUGCAAAGAGAUAUGGUAACAAAGAAUAAGGUUUCUCAUUAGACCAAAUUUAGCAGAUCUUCUCCUUUCUUCUAGGAUUAAGAAAAAUUUGGCCUCUAAUUACAUGUUAAAGUCUCCUUUUCAUUUGAGUUUGAGAUGAAUUAACCUAUACAAUAAACUAUUGGUUAUCUUAUUGUUGAGUCCAGAAUUGGUUCCCCUUCUCUCAGUUGACAAAUGUGGAGUUCUGUGUUUCUCUCGAAAGGUCUGAGUGGGAAGUCAUCAUCCUUAAUAAUUUCAAUUGAGUUGUCAAGAUCUGAGGUAAUAAACCAGCUUCCUCUUUCAUUUUUCCCCCCCUUUUUUCUUUGAACUAACUUAUUAUUAAAUUUCAUAUUCAAGAUUAUCCUGUACUGGGUUCUGGUUCUAGCAAUCAUUUAGUAUAUCUACUAAAUUGUCUUCUAAGCACCAAGUGGCCUGUCGCAAUGUUUUAUCUUGAACCAGAGCAUUUCCUUGACACACGUGCACAUCCCUGUUCUUAAGGUUCAUAGGUAAAAGACUUUCUGUAAAUGAUCAAAGCAGUUCCCACAGGUGGAGAGAGAAUAUUGAAAUUCAGUAAACAUCCUUUAGCAUCACAGAUUUGGCCGUACUGCUAUAUACUUUACUAGCAAUAAAUUUACUUUUAUCAUCUUUUAUGAUGGUACGUGGGUGGUUAACAAGUAUCAUUGAUUGAGACUGGCAUUUGUUUGGUGUAUAUUAGAAAAGAGACAUUAAGAUUGAAUUUCCUAUACGACAAUGAGUUUGUUUCAAUGGUUUACAUAUUAAUAGGAUAUCCCUAAUGCUUUGGCUGGCAACUGGAGGAUGUUGAAAACUCGUGUUGUCUAUGGUUCUGAAUCUUCCGAUAUAUUUUUAUUAAGAUCAGAUGUCUUAUGCAGCCAAUAGCCAUAUUAAUGUACCCCUCCAGAUUGAAUUACCUUAUUGCAGUGGACUUGUUUGAGGUAAUCUAACAAAAACAGUCUUAUCCCACUAGGAGGUAAUCUAUUUUAAAAGAACUAAAAUUAUUAUUAUCAUUAUCAUCGGUCUGCUACAGUGGAUAUGAAACUGAAAUCAAUGCAACUAAAUGUUAGCAAAUGGAAGGCUUGGAAGUUGAGUAUUUGUGCAUAUGGUAUGACAUUUAUGCUAUAAGGACAGCAUUCUGAUUAUGUGGUUUGGUUGUUCUAGAAGAGAGGCUUUGAUAUGAUUUUUAUAUAUUUCUUUUUAUCUGUCCGACAUUCCUUUAGGUUUGAAUUUUAAGUUCAUGGACUUGUCCUGUAUAAAAUAGCUGACUAUCACUGCUUUGAUGAAUGCCUGCUGUUCCUUGCUAUCUUCAUAUGCUUUCAUGAUUUUGCAUAUUCUCUGCAGGUUGGUGAAGAAAAUUUUAUUAGAUUAUCCCUCUAAUGGCUGUUUGAUAGGUAUGUAAACUUUGAUUGCACAAGAGUCCUGUAGAUAUAUGCUAAAGUUAAUUAUCUGGUCAUAAUAUUUUACACAUGUUUCACCUUCAUUGCAAGGUGGUGUGAAUUUGUAAAAUCUAAGUUAGUUCAUUCUUCAUUCCCUGGCCAUUUGAAAUUGUCUUCACAAUUGGCCGUGAUAGUGUUGAGAAAAUAGUCAAUUUAAAAAUGUUUCUCUGCUUCCUUUUUGCUUGAAUACAAAAAUUUGGUCGAGUUAAAUGCUGAAUACCUAUGUAAAUUCUAGGAAGAAGGUAGAUGAAGGUUUUUUUUGUUAACCUUCAUCUUUAGUUAAAUGCUGAUAGUUUAAUGUGAUAUAACGUGGGUUUAUUUAUUU
RNA transcript from Glycine soja, 3397 nucleotides. It is a transcript of the gene named CTD small phosphatase-like protein 2, with no coding region annotated. The transcript has 8 exons. NCBI's taxonomy places the organism in Eukaryota, Viridiplantae, Streptophyta, Magnoliopsida, Fabales, Fabaceae. The record is from RefSeq and is a predicted model, not a curated record.